AUCCACCUCACAUCAAUAACCCGACCCCUUCCACCUAUAGGUAGUUUUAGACAAGUUUCUUUUGAAGUAGAUAUCUGAAUACCAAGUAUAGCUCGUAACAAUCUAUCUUCCGGGGCAUACGACGAUUCUUUCACGACCUGAGGUGUUAAUUUAGCUACUAAAAUAUCACCCGUCUCUACCCAAGAUCCCAGCAUCACAAUUCCAUUUUUAUCUAAAUUGCGGAGUAAAUGGGCUUCUAAAUGCGGUAUUUCAUUAGUUACUUUUUCAGGGCCUUGGCUUGUCACGUGAGUCUGAAUUUCUUAUUUCCGUAUGUGAAAAGAAGUAUAAAUAUCUUCAUAUACCAAACACUCGCUAAUAAGUACCGCAUCUUCAGAAUUGUAACCCUCCCACGGCAUAUAAGCUACUAAUACGUUUUUCCCAAAGCAAGUUCGCCACCAACCGUAGCAGCACCAUCCGCUAAAAUCUGUCCCUUUUUAAUGCGGACUCAAAUUACUUUUUUAAUGUUAAAAAAAAUUACAUUUCUACCUAUUUUGCAGUAAUUUACCGCAAAUUGAUAAAAAAUAUUAAAUACAAUUCGCAGUAAUUUACUACGAAUUCCAGAUAAAAGAGGCGUCUCCUCAAUAUCUAGGCCAGACCGUUUCUUAUGUAUAUUUCGCAGUAAAUUAUUGCGAUUUAGGCUAAUUCGCAGUAAUUUACUGCGAAAUAGCCAUUUAAAUAUUCCAGUCGUCUUCCUCAUUCAACCUAUCCACCAUUUUUAUACAAAAACCCCCACCUUUGGGGUCCCCCCCACCCCCACGUCUUUAUAUAUAAAAAUAUUUGGCCUCACCCGGACUAAAUAACAAGGAGUAUAGGUCCCACAUACUGUUGGUUGAUUUCGAUUGCGUAUUUCGGGUUCAAUAUUUCGAAUUUCAAAAAUUUACAUCGAGGUAUUUCUAUUUACUUUAUGGUGAAACUCGUACAUUUAUGCAUAUUAGUAUUGUUUAGUAGUUUACAUGUGAAUUUAUAUUAUAUUUGUGUUCUUUAAUAUACUCGGAUUAUUUUAUUUGAUACCCGAAUUUAUGUAUUAUAUUUGAUUUAUAAACCUGAAAGCAUGUUAUUUUUNNNNNNNNNNNNNNNNNNNNNNNNNNNNNNNNNNNNNNNNNNNNNNNNNNNNNNNNNNNNNNNNNNNNNNNNNNNNNNNNNNNNNNNNNNUUGUACUGUAGUAAAAUAUAGUGACUUUUAGCGUAGUAAAAUAUAGUGACUUGUAGUGUAGUAAAAUAUAGCCUUUUAGCGUAGUAAAAAUGUAGAGUUUUUUAAAGCCUUGUACCAUAGUAAAACAUAGAACCUUGUAGCGUAGUAAGGAUAACUCGGUGCUACGAGGCCCAAAAAAUAAAGCUUUGAACUCAUACAUAAUUGUUCUCUCCAAAUCAGAAAUUUAUAGUUAGCUAAGAAAAUUGUAAAAAUGUUGAAAUUGGGAAUUAUAAUAAUUAACGAUAACUCGGUGCUACCGGGCAAAAAAAGAAUGAAAUCUGAACCCAUAUAUAGUUAUUCUUUCCAAUUCAAAAAAAUGAAGUCUGGAACCCAUAUAUAAUUAUUCUCUCAUUAUAAUUUUUAAUUUAAAACUGUAAGGUAAGAAAAUUCUAAAAAUGUUGAACCCAUACAUAAUUCGGUGGUACCAAACUUUUAAAUCAAGUCAGAAGCACCUAGAUGACUAUUUUCUCCAAUAUUAAUCAUAAUUAAUUGUUUAAUUUAUUAAAGUAACACAGCCAAUUAAUUAUAAAGAACAAUUUUAUUUUAAUUGCGUUUGAACAACAAUUUUACUUAUAUAGUACAUCACAACCACAAACACUGACAACCAAAAAUAAAAACAAACAGUAGAACUAACGAAAUAACUUGACAAAGGAAAUAUGAAGAUUGACUAACGAAAACACUUAACAUGUCAUUCUUUAGGAACGAUCGGGUAGUAUUCUCUCCUUCAUCAAAAACAGCUUCUUUUCGAUCUUCCUUUUCUCUUUUCCUACAUCCUCUAUAAUAGCCUUCAAUUCUUCAAUUUCUUGCUUGGAUUGGCGCUCUCUAUCCCACUGCCCCGUACACACUCCAUGAAGAUAGAACAACUUGUCUCUGUAGUAUUCCUGGUCACAUGGUUUAUCAAUCCAUACUUUAAAGUUGCAUAUAGGUAUAUCGGGCUGCCUAUAAAAUUUGUUCAAACAACCCCAAUAGUGUCGGCUAGCUUCUUCCCAAUCAUUAUACAUCAUGGUCGUAGCUACACAUUCGCAAUUCGGGGCACGAAUGGGGCGUUGAGACAUUUCUUGCAGGAAACUUUUGGUAUAUUGACAAGCUUGAUGAUAGGUUGUUGUUAAGUAUUGAAAAUAAAUUGAAGGCGCUUUUUAUUUAUAGGGAAUAAGUCCCAAUAAUACGUAGUAUUAUAUUACGAAUUCCAUGCACAUUUUUCGGGAAAAAAAUAGUUUUUUUCCACACGGGUUUGAACAUUUUCAAAAUGAAAUGACAACUCAACAAUACGUAGUAUUAUACUACGAAUUCCAUGCACAUGUUUCCGAAAAAAAGAAGCUUUUUUCACAUGGGUUUGAACGUUUUCAAAAUGACAUGACAACUCAACAAUACGUAGUAUUAUACUACGAAUUACAUGCAUAUUUUUCGAGUAAAAACAGCUUCAAAUUUUAACACUAAUGUUCUUUGAAAACAAUAAUAAAGUGAUUAGUAGAACAAUAUUUUUAUUUAACAUGUUAACUAAAAUACAAACACUACAAAUAUAAACACCCAAACAGUAGAACUAGUACAAACAUUAAACAAGGCAAACACAAAGAGCAAACUAUUACGCUUAUCACGUAAAAGCCACAUCAUAAUCAAGAUCCGCUUCCGACAAUUUUCUCCAACAACUCGAGUUGGUCUUCCAGCCCCUUUUUCUCUUCUUCUACCUCAUUCAGUUUGGCUUUCAAUGCCUCAAUUUGUUCUUUGGUUUGGCGCUCUCUUUCAGCUUGCCUAGUACAUCUACAAUAAAGUUUAUAAAUUUCUUCUUUGUAGAACUUGAUUCUACACUCUUCAUCAAACCAUACAUCAAAUUCACAUGUGGGCUUGUCUGGUUGCUCGUCACGCUUUCUCGUACAACCCUAUUAGAGGCAUCCACCUUCUGGCCACCAUUCGUACAAGCGACAUUUUUCUCCACAGUAGCACCUUGGGACAUAAACGGGUUGUCCAGACAUUUCGUAAAGAGAAAUUUUGCUUAUUGAUAAGUGCAAAAAGUAAGUAGCGUGCAACCGUUAUUUAUAGUCAAGAUUUCAUACAAUACGUAGUAAUAUAUUGCGAAUUAGAUGUUAAGUGAAAAAAAUAAGUUGCGUGCAAACAUUAUUUAUAGACAAGAUUUCAUACAAUACGCAGUAAUAUACUGCGAAUUAAUUUAAAAUAGCCUUUUACCGUGCAGAAUAUUGAGCCUUUUAUCGUAGUAAAAAUCAAGUCUGGAACCCAUACAUAAUUCCAUUAUUAAUCCUAAUUUUAAAUUUAAUCAUAUUUAGUUAUUUAAUUUAUUAAACCAACACAACCAAUUAAUUUUGUUUAAAUUAUAUUAGACGUCAUGGCCUUUCCUCCGCCCGUGCAUCCCGGACCUGUGGAGGAUAAGCUAUUAGUGUUACAGGGCGACCAUAGGUGCUCCUAUGUGUGGGAGGGACAGCUGUCAGAGCAGGCUCUCCGGCCUAGGAGACCUGAUGAUCUUUGGGAUUUUAUUGCUGGCCAUCCUUUGUACGAGCGUGUAGUACACAUCCUUCAGGAUACAGGAUUAUAUCCCAUUUUUGAGCUAGGCCAGAUGCAACAAGACUGGUCGCUCAUCACGGCCUUGGUAGAGCGGUGGCGACCGGAGAUGAAUACAUUUUAUUUACCCAUAGGAGAGGCUGCUAUAACCUUAGAGGAUGUCCAUGUCUUAUAUAGACUGCGUAUAGACGGAUGCGCCAUGACACUGCCCACUAUGUUAGAGGAGCGCCACGUGCACAGUUGGCGAAGCUGAUGGGGCAGUGGACUGGACUUAGACCUGAGGGUCGGCAGGGGGCGUUCGCAUUGCUUUAUCAGCCAUCAGAGAUCAUAUGGAGGAUUUGCACCCCGAUAUUACCCACCAAACAGAGGAUCUCUGGAUAGCCCGGUACACAUGUUGUGAGUUGCUCUUGCUCUUCGGGUGUGUAUUGUUCCCGGACACUUCGGGAAGUAAGGUGAGCAUGCGCUUCAUUCAUCAUAUAGUAGAGCUGGGUCAGGUAUCCCAGUACAGCUGGGGUGCUAGUGUGCUUGCGUACCUAUGUAGGAGCAUGUGCUGGGCGAGCAUGGGUCCAGUAGUUGAUAUAUGAGUUUUUCUCUAACUCAGGUGACCAAAUUUCCAAAUCUUUGUUCUUUUCUUCAAAUUCGAUAUCGAUAAAUGACACAUAAAUAUUACAUCAACAUUUUAUUUUAGGUUUACAGUAGAUAUAUGCCAUUUUCUCCCCCUCUUACAGUGACCAAAUUUUAAAAUAUUUUGUUGUUUUCUUCAAAUUCAAUAUCGCUAAAUGACACAUAAACAUUACAUCAACAUUUUAUAUUAGGUUUGGGCCUGUUGCAGCCACCUACACCAGCACUUCCACCCAGUCAGCAUUAUCCAUUUCUCCCUCUAGAUAUCAUAUGGAUUGCAUGGCAUUGGCUAUACCGAUGGGCUAAGGCUCACCAUAAUUUCCCCCUCCUCAGGGAUGUCUUAGAUAUGUUGGUGGACGGACAGGUAAAUAUGUACCUAUAGUUGUUUUUUCCAAACUGAGUUGCAUUUGCGUACUAACAUUUAUGUUAUUAUUUGGCAGUUCAUAUGGAUGCCAUACAACAACGAGUUGCUUGCUGAGCUGCCAGCUUGUUGCUUAGUCUACUGGCUUAUUUGGAGCACCUCCACCCCGAUUAUAUUCUGGGAUUACGUUAAGUAUCAUGCCACAGAUCGUAUCCCUCGACAGUUUUCCCGACCCCAAACUAUACCGAGGGAGCCUACAUGGGUUGCCACUCACUAUCAGCACGAUAAUCAUAUCAACACGGACGGGCAGUAUGCUGAGUGGUUACAACAGCAGCAAGUCGGUUGGGACGAGAGAGCUGAGUGUACUCCGCCACCACCUACGAUUUUCCAGGAGGGCACUAUUCAUCUAUAUCCUCAGUGGUAGCGUCGUCACACCCGACUGAUGAUCGCGAACCCGGUGCAUGUACUUGGCGAUCGUUACAGACCGUACGCAGGGAGGCACGAGGCACUGGUAUGUUUUUUCGGCUUGUUAAUAUGUUAUAAUAUGGAUAUAACAUUAUUUAAUUACUAAUUUAAAUGUUUCCAGGCUAUAGGGUCAUCAUCGUUUCUACCAGUUGGGACAACAGAUUCAGCAGCGUACCGACAUCCCUGAAUUGGUUGAUUUUGGCCGGCAUGUAGAACGGAUGGCUCGGUUGACACUGUUGCAGGCGAGAAAUGCUGAGAGGAUAGACCAGGAGGCUCAGUAUACAGCGCCAGAGGCGUACCGGCGGAGUAGGCCGAUCCCGCGAGGUAGGGGUGCCCCAUGAGCUAGAGGUGCCAGAUGGGGUCGCGGGGGACGACAGGGAGGUGGUCAGUAAGGUGGCGCUGAGGUACUUGUCAGCCCACCUGGAGAGGUCCAUGACGAGACCCUAUGGCUUUAGGGGCUUGGAGAUGAUUAGCAGGGUUAUAUUCCUCAUGCAGACGAGUCUUCUAGUAGCAUGCCUUCGUUUAGCCUUCGGUUAUCUUUGCCAGUACCGCAGGUCACCCUGUCAGGAGCGUUGUUGAUCAUGGGUACAUUUGAUACGGAUGUAGAUCAUUACUUCGCAUGCCCAUCUUCUUCAGUUGACGAUAGCCCCAUCUAUGACGUGGAUGGUGGGCGCAGGUUGAGUUAUCCCCCCCAUCCCGACGGUUCAGGUGCAUCUAUCACAGGCGAUGGUAUGUUUUUAUUACUUUAGAAUUUCAAUUUGUUUUCUUUUCCUUAAUAUGGCAUCAAUGAUUAAUUUUUUUUUUCUUAUGAAGUCUUUGUCCCAGCCCAUCUUUAAGGCAAGUACAGUAGGUGAUGAGCAUAUCACGGAUGCAUAUACCCAGGAGGCCGAGGGCACCACGAUGAGUAAAUAAUUUAUUACUUAACACAUAUAUCAAACUAAUAUUAUUUUUAUAUGCUAAUUUAUUAGUUGUUUUGUAGGAUGUUGACGGUCCUACGGUCUAUUCUUCCGAUCCUGCCAGUUGCACAGACGAUGCGGUUGCACAUCCUCUGAUAAAGAUGCGGCUAGAUGAUGAUGAUCCAGAUAGUGUACCCGACCGACGGGGGAUGCGACUCAGGCCAACGGUGACACUAAAGCACACUGGCUACAGGAUGCAUUGAUUUAUUUUGUUUGUAAUUUAUGUAAAUAUUGUUAAUAAUUAUAUGAGAGCAACAAUUUUAUUUUAAUUGCGCUUGAACAACAAUUUUACUUAAACAGUACAUUACAGACACUAACAGUGACAACCUAAAAUAAAAACAAACAGUACACUUAACGAAAUCACUUAACAAAGAGAACAUAAAAUUUAAUAUUAGAACAACCAUAUCAAAAUACAACGUUAAAAAAUAAGAUGAAAUUUGGAAUAUUCUUUUAUUUCAUUAAAUUGAAACUUACGCAAGUACAAACUUGAAUAAAAAGAAAAAAAUUAAAAUUAAAUACUAAGGGUUUCCAUGAUAGUUGGGUACGUUAGACGAACUUGCACCGGGAUUACCACCGCCUCGCACACUGGCUGAAGGACAUUUACGAUGGUGGUGUCCUGUUUGCAAGCAUAUGCCACAUUUAACAUCCAUUUGGUUUCAUAUGCGCGUUCUCUUUUUUACUUGCAACUUGCGCAAAUAGUCCUUGUUACAUACCAUCUUAAAAGGUUCCGGCGACCAAUAAUGCUCAGCACCUAAUAGCUGCAACUUCCCACUAUAUGUAUCUACGUAUGCAGCAACAUUGUAUUGUCUAUCAAUAUAUUUUUUGCCCCAUAUCCAACUUGUUGAAAGCGCUUCAAUACAUGUGCGCACGACAUGUGGAAGAUGAUCCAUUUUCCACAUGAACAUAGCCUUCUUUUUUCAUUCACCGUAUGUAGAUUAUUCCCAUGGCUGCAACUUUCCACUAUAUGUGUCUACAUAUGCAGCCACACUGUAUUGCCUAUCAAUAUAGUUUGUUGCCCCAUAUCCAACUUUCUGAAAGUACUUCAACUCAUGUGCACAGGGCAUGUGGUAGAUGGUCCAUUUUUUCACACGAACACAAACUUCUAUUUUCACUCACCGUGUGUAGAUUAUUCCCACGGUGUCCGCUGAUGGAUGUCUUAACUUCAAAAACACCCCGUUCGUGAUCGUACUGAAGAAAUAAAUGCCACUGUGCUCGCCUCCUCGACAUUUCAAAUCUUCUCAUAGGUAUUGGCAUAAAUUCAACACCCCGGUCUAUCAAUGCUGAGGCGGCUGCAUACCCUUCAACAAACCUCUCCGCGCUCUGUUUGAAUGUCAUGCGAACCAUGGCAGUGAAAGGAAAUGCCAAUGUGCUCGCCUCCUCGGCCUUUCAAAUCUUCUCAUGGGUAUUGACAUAAAUUCAACACCACGGUCCAUCAAUGUUGAGGCAGCUGCAUGCCUUUCAACAAACCUCUCUGUUUGAAUGUCAUGCAAACCAUAGGAGUAACAGGCAGUCACAUGCAUAUUUCAGCAAGCCAUUGAAUGACUGCGACACAUUUGUAGUCAAGGCUCCCCAUCGUCUGCCGCCAUAUGCAUGCAAUGUCCACAUGUGAAGCUCAUGCCCCAUCAACCAAGUAUAGGCUCUUGGUUCCUAUCUGCCGGAUCGCUUCCAUGUGCCUAUUGAAUUUGCAUUGUUGGUGCUCAGUUUCAGCCAUCCACAUUAAGUCAUGGAAGGUCUUGUCAGAAAAUUUCUUCUAAAAAUUGGCCUUCAGGUGCCGCACACAGUAACGGUGGUAUGCAUAUGGUUCCUGCCAUUCAGGCAAGUGAUGCACAGAACUUAAAAUACCACCAUGUCGAUCAGAUAUUAGACAAAUACCUGAACGAUGUUUGAUGACGUGCUACUUCAAGUGGUUCAAAAAUAUGCAAGAAAGUGACACACAAAACUUAAAAUACCACCAUGCCGAUCAGAUAAUAGACAAAUACCUAAAUGCUGUUUGACAACGUGCUCCUUCAAGUGGUUCAAAAAAAGGGUCCACAUCUCUUCGCUUUCGCUGGCACAUAUGGCAAAGGAUAAUGGAAAUAUUUGCCCGUUGGCAUCUACAACGACUGCAAUCAAAAUCUGAAUAUUAUAAUUUCCAUAGACAUGGGUACCAUCUAUGGAAAUAACAGGACGACAAUGCAAAAAACCAUCAAUUGCCGGUUUAAAUGACCAGAACACAUAGUUGAAAAUAUAUUCGGGUCUGUUCGGACUCCGCUCACGCAUCCAUUCAUAAACAGUACCGGGGUUAAAGUGUUUCAAUGCGGCCAUGUACCUGGGCAGAUUUGAAAAAGACUUAUCCCAGUCGCUAUAAAUAAGUUCAAAGGCACGUUUACGACCGAGAUAUGCCUUUAUUUUAGUUACAGUACAACCAUACUCCUUCAGGACGGCUGUGAUACACUCUUUAAUCUUGAACCUAAUGGACACUUUCAAAUAUGGAAUCAAGCCAAGAGAAAUCAAGUCGACAUCCAAGUUGAAGUGAUUCUCAUUGUAUGUGUCCAUUUUACAUCUGUGAUCGCUAAUAAAUUUACCCACUUUCCAAAAACAUAAUUUCUUCUUGGUGGAACGCAACAUUCAGUGACAAUCCAUAAAAAAUCUACGGCACACGGCCUUCCAUUUAUCCAUAGUUGACUCAAUUACAGUCAUCUCGCGUCACUCUUUUAUGCUGUAGAUUUUUACAGCCCUAAUUAGGCGAGCUUUAUCGGGGAAAUACAUGCCUUUAGUCAAAACAGAUGGCCUGGACUCAUCCCACAUUUGUAAUCAAAAUUCAUCAUCUUCUCUUGUGAGGGCAUCCACGUCGGCAUGCUUUGAAAAUUAUCAAGGUAGGGGAUAUUCCACUCAUGAAAUGGCACGUGGGAAUCGAACACUCUAGGUCGCACGGGAGGUGGAGUAACAUGCUCCCUCGCCGGUUCAUGUUCAACAUUUACUUCCUCCUCCUCAUUACCAACCUCAGAAGGGAAGGGUGUGUCAUCCCCAGACUCAUCCGCAUUAUUGUCGUAGUCACUAUCAUCUUCCUNNNNNNNNNNNNNNNNNNNNNNNNNNNNNNNNNNNNNNNNNNNNNNNNNNNNNNNNNNNNNNNNNNNNNNNNNNNNNNNNNNNNNNNNNNNNNNNNNNNNNNNNNNNNNNNNNNNNNNNNNNNNNNNNNNNNNNNNNNNNNNNNNNNNNNNNNNNNNNNNGCACAAAAAGAACAACAAGAUAAGUUACCUAAUACUCCGGAAAAAUAUUUUAGAUAUAGCUAUAUCACUUUACUUACAAGUCAUAUUGUCUUGAAAAUUCUUGUUGGUGAUGACUCCCAGAUGGACCACCGUGAUCCAAUACCCCAGAACUAGGAAUAUUCCAACUAGGGGUCGGCUCAUAACUAGUAAAAUUCAUAUCCGGACGGUAUCCUUAAUGAAAAAUAUGACCAUUAAUACAAAUCAAAUUCAAAUGUAAAAUAAACAACGCAAAACCAUAGCAAAAUUGAAGUUUAAAGUCGUAUCGUCUUGACAAUUCUUAUUGGUGAUGACUCCCAGAUGGACCACCGUGAUCCAAUACUCCACAACUAGGAAUAUUGCAACUAGGGUUUGGCUCAUAACUCGUAAAAUGCAUAUCCGGACGAUACCCUCUAUGAAAAAUAUGACCAUUAAUACAAAUCAAAUUCAAAUGUAAAAUAAUCAGCGCAAAACCAUAGCAAAAUUGAAUUUUACCAGUCCUCUUGUAGAUUAUAUAAAGUCGAUAGAUUAUCUUGUGUCUGCUCAUUAACCGGUGGUGACAAGUUUAAAUCAAUGCAAGCUCUUUCUUCACCAAUUUGUCCGGCAAAAAUUGCUCCAGAAUAACCACCCGAUGACUGGGGGCUAUCCAUGCUACGCACGCCCUCUUCCACCUUAAUGUACAUUUCCAAUAAUUUUAUUACGACAAAAUCCAUGUAUUCCUCCGGAAUCCACAAAAAUCUCUAAAAGUAUCAUCAUCAUCGAUGUUAUACUCUGAAUAAUAAGCAAACCCCUGCGGAGUCACUGAAUAUGGAAAUCUACCGGGUACUUUGAAGUUAACCGAACGUCUCCUCACUCAUUUCUUUAGUCUUCCACCUUAACGUACAUUUUCAAUAAUUUUAUUACAAUAAAUUCCCUGUAUUCCUCUGAAAUUCGAAAAAAAUCUCUAACAGUAUCAUCAUCAUCGAUGUUAAACUUCAAAUAAUAUGCAAACCCCUGCGGAGUCACCAAAAUCCGGAAAUCUACCGGUUAUUUUGAAGUUAACUGAACGCCUCCUCUCACUCAUUUUUUUUAUGUAACAACGAUACCAGUGUAUCGUACUCCAUAUUAAGCGGCAAUUUAACGUGACAUUAUGGAGGUGAACUGUACCUCACAGAGUUAUUCUCCAGCAUAACCUCACCACCCCAAUGUAAAGAAACCCUUAUUUUUUGCACUUCAGACAUUAUAAAAUAGAUUGAUAAGAAGAAGAGAAAAGUUUAUUGAAUGAAUGUUCAUGAAAAUCAAACGCCUAUAAAUAAGGCAAGUCUGAGCUCGGGGCAUAGAAUUUUUCAAAUGAAUUCGCAAUAAAAUACUACGUCUUAUAAUUUUGAAUUAUUGUUGUUCUAUCUGUUAAAAUAAUUAGGUGGAGCCCAAAAAAGGGACAAUUCGCAGUAAAUUACUGCGAAUUGCAAAUUCGCGGUAAUUUAAUGUGAAUUGUACCUUUUUUUUGCCUGGAACUGGUGAUUAAUAAAAAUAAAAAUAUAAAGGGAAUUCGCAGUAAUUAUUGCGAAUUGUAUUUAAUUUUUUUAUCAAUUCGCAGUAAUUUAUUGCAAAUUAGGUGAACAUAAAAAAUUUCGCUCACCUAAUUCGCAGUAAAUUACUGCGAAAUAGGUAGAAAUAAACUUUUUUUAACAUUAAAAAAGAACUUUGAGUCCAAAAAAUUAUCAUUUUGGUUUCGGACUCCAAAAAUGUGGGUAACUAUUUUUGCAUCUGCCAAAGUUUAUUUUUUAAAAAACCGACCAACUUGAAUCGAUUUUUUUAUUUAAAAUCAAUAUUAAAAAAAUCAGUCGGCUAUUUCAGUCGGUAAGUUUAUAAAACCAACUGAUUUCGAUCGAUAAUUUUAUUUUUUUAAUAAAACCUACCAAAAUAGAUCCGUUAUUUUCGCGCAAAAAUGCAAUUAAAAAGUAUAAAUAAAGUAAAAGAGAGUCCAAAACCCAAAUGCAACAAUAGUCUAGUGUUAGAAUAGUAUCCUGCCACAAUAUAGACUCUAUUUAGUUCUCAGACAGUGCAUUUUAAAAUUAGAUAAUUAAAAAUACCAACCGACUUCAGUAGUUUUUUUUCCGGUAAAUUUUUUCUUUUUUGGAUCGUUUGAUAAAUUUAAUUGACCGGCCGAAAUCAGUUGAAAAAUAUCGAUCAAAGUUGCUCGACUGGCUAUAUCGACCAAACGAUUACCAACUGCCAUAAAUCAGUCGUUUUUCGAUCGAUUUUGCCAAUUACCGACCAACAUCAGUCGGUUUUCCCUCUUUAUUAGUAGUAUAAGAUUAUGAAUGAAGUUAUUAGGAACAAUGUGACAUGGGCCUUUGUGAAGGACAAGUUGGGGGAAUGAAGGCUGAUAUAGUUCGGACAUGUGAAGAUGUGAGACAUGGCUGCCCUAGUUAAAAGGUGUGAGAGGUUAACCAUGACGGGUCUGAGUAAGGGUAGUGGUCUGCCAAAGAAGUUGUGGAGAGAGGUAAUUAGGUAUGUCAUAUCAUUGCUUCAGCUUACUGAGGACAUGACCCGUGGUAGGAAGGUGUGGAGGUCGAGGACUAGAGUUGAAGGUUGACAGAAAGCCGUGAGUUACUCCUAGACUUAUCGGUAGUACUAGUACUAUUCUUGUAUUUUAUUUCAUUACUGAUUCUUUAUUAAUAUGUUUUGUAUAAUUUGCUUUUGUUACCCUAUUAUAUUAUUGUUACUAUUAUUUGUUGCUUUAUUUUUACUAUUUUUUGAGUCAAGUGUCUAUAAGAAACAACUUCUCUCUACCUUUUUCAAAUUCCACCUAUAAGAUUACACUAGAUUUAUCAUUAUUGUUAGGCUAAAUACAUAUUUUACCCAUCCAACGAAUGACCAAAUCCCUGUUACAUAUCUGUUAACCACAGGUUUUAUUUUACACACCAAACCUUUUAAAAGUGUAUCAAUUACACACUACUUUUGACCAAACUCUUCAAUAUUCAAUGCGUUGGUUACACGCAUUUUUUUAAUUAAAAAAACCAAUGAUUCCUUAGUUAAAAUAGCUAACCCAAUACUUUUCUUAAAUCAGACCCAUGAAAGACCCGAUCCUGUUACUUAAAAAUACAUACGCGACCAUAUUAACAAGAAAAAACUCAAUUUCAAAAUCAUGUUCUUCAUCCCUAACCUAUGAAGCUAAUCUGACGAGCACAAAUCUGCUAAUUGCUGUUUUUUCUUGAGUUUUUCAGUUUAGUAUUCUCAUUUAAGGUUGUUCAACCCUUCUGAUUUAGAUGAGUGUGUCGAAAUAGUUAGGGUCUAAUUGGGAAGAAUGAUAAUAUAUUACACUUUAAUUGACCAAAUAUAACCAGCUUCUAAAUAUUAGAUAUGGAAGGUGAAGAUGGGAUUACAUUUUCAGAAAAUUGUUUGCCACUUUUAAAGAUGGAUAAGAUGAAAAUUGUGGCUUUUAAUAAGAGGGAGAUGAAGAAUUGGAUGUGAGGGUUAAGAAAAUGGGCCCGUUAUUAGUAAAUAUCCAUUUUAAUUAGUCAGUUCAGGCAGAAAAUAACUAUUCACGCGCCCCAUUGGCCGUGUUUGACACAUCCCAAAGGCUGGUCAAAAGUAGUGUGUAAUUGACAUACUUUUAAAAGAUUUGGUGUGUAAAAUGAAACCCGUAAUCAACAGGUGUGUAACAAGAAUUUGGUUGUAAGUUGGAUGAGUAAAAUAUGUAUUUCGCCUUAUUGUUAAUAUCAUUAAUUACUUGAGCGUUAGAAAUUGACUUAUCGAUUUCCUAAUAUUCUUAUUUUGACUGUGUGCUACCUUAUUGGCUAGGCUCCAAUAGACAAAGCACAAAUGACAAUUGCUCGGGAGAAAUUUAAAAAUAGUCAGAUUUACAACUGAUCAUUCAAGAAUAGUCAAGUUUUAAAGGUAAUCAAAAUUUAGUCACUUUUUAUGUAAAGAUAAAUCUAAGUGAAAACACAGUUCAAAAUCCGAAAAAUACGUCAGUAUAUUAUACUGGUGUUCCAGCAUAAGUAUGCUUGAACUCCAGUAUAUUAUACGAGAGUUUCAAAAUAACUAUGCUGGAACUCCAGCUUAAUAUAUUGGAGUUCCAACAUAAGUACACUAGAACUCCAGCAUAAUAUACUGGAGUUUCAGCAAGUAUAAAUGCCAGUACAAUAUACUGGAGUUUGGAGCACCGGUGCUCUAAUCUCCUGUAUAUUAUACAGGAGUUAGCAAAGUAUAUCGGUCCAGCAUAAUAUGAUGGAGUUCGUACACAGAUGCACUGAACUUCCGUAUAUUAUGUGGGACCGAUCUCUAUUGCAGCAAAAUAAUAGUUAUUUUUUAUUGACUUUGUAAAUAGUGGCUAUUUUUAAAUGAUUCGUCCGAAAACUGGCUAUACCGUACUAUUUUAACCAAUUGCUUUAACUCUAUCCAAAUAAACUUUGAAUCUUUCACGCAUAUUGUAUAUUACUAGAUUGUUUCACUAUCACACUGGGUUAUGCAAGUUUUUGGUUAUUAAAAAUAGUUUUUUGGGUUUGAAUUUUGAAUUUUGAAUUUUUGGGUCAAACUUUGAAUCUUUCACGCAUAUUGUAUAUUACUAAUAGUAGCUUGUUUAGCUAAGUUUACAAAAUUAGGUUAUUUUGAAAAGUAUUCUUUUCAAAAAAAAAAAAGAAUUAUUGAAAUAAUUUAUGUUUGACUAAUUAAUUUAAAAUAUACUUUUGAACAAUAAUUUGUAUUUGAACCAAGCUUUUAAAAGUGAUUCUAAUAGCCUAUUUGGCUGAGCUUUCAAAAGUUAAAAGUACUUUUUGUCAGAGAGAAAAAUGUACUUUUUAGGAAAUUUGAUGUGUGUUGAUCAAGAUGGAGAAGCGUUUUUGAGUAGUUGUAUAAGCAAUUCUUUUGCUUUUGGGGAAAAAACUACAGAUUCUAGCUUAUUUCAAGAUGCAAAAGUAGAAGCGAAAAAUUGGGUUUUUAUGAUAAAAGUACCAUUACUAUAAAUUUAUAUUUUUCAAGUUAUACUUCAUUUAUUUUGAUUUUUUUAUUAUGUUUCAGUCGUUUUUUUAUUCUCCUUUUUCUAUUAUUCUUUGAAAUAAUCUCUAUACUAUAAAUAAAUCUCUUAUUUUAUAUAGGAUUAAUAAAGUAGGUUUCAGCACGGUGUAGAGCUUAAAGUAAACACCAACCUCACUAUAUAGCGUAUUAAUACAUACUGAAUGAUAUAUUUUGAUAUAUUUAAAUCGUUAUAUAAACUAGGUAAUACUGGAAAUUUAAUGUUUUUGCUUUGGAUAACUAUAUUUUAAAUUAAUUAAAUUUUAAUAUAUAUAUAUAUAUAUAUAUAUAUAUAUAAUUUUUAUGUUUUAUAUUCUAAUUAAAAAAAAUAACUUUUAAGAAUAAAUAUGUAAAUUAAUUUCUCUCUUUUAAAUAAUAUACUAAUUAUGAACUCAACAUUUACUGUCUUUUUUUUGGUUGUAAUUUGACAUUCAAAAGUAACUUUUUAAAAUGAUUAGCCAAACUCAAUUUCCUUAUCAAAUAUUAUAACAAGAACUUUUUAAAUAAAUUAGCCAAACACAAAUGCUAACUCUCAAAAAUACUUUUUUGGAAAAUACUUUUAAGCAAAAAUAUUAUCAAAAUAAGUAAUUUUUAGCUGCUUGGACAAACGAGUUCUAAAUGUAUUUUUUUUAAAAAUAUUUUUAAAAAAUACUUUAGAAAAGUUAUUAAUUUUAAUGCUUCUCGAAAAUAUGCUUAUGAUCAAUAGUAAAAAGUAAACAAAAAAUAAAUUAAUUUCGCCAAAAAAAGAAACUUGGCUGAACAGGAGUAUAACUUUGUUUUCGGAAACAAACACUAUCCCCAUGGAAAAAACAAACCAAACAGUUAACUUAUCCUGUAGAAUCACCCCUUAUCUUAUCUCAGCAGCAUUAAUUCCUAACCAAAUGAUGUGAAGUCAUGAGAAAAAAGUGACGGCUGAGAUUGUGUGAACGCAUACAUCCCAAAAUUCUACAAACAGGGAAGAUAACGCUAGGCGAAAGGUGAUAUUUCUCCGGAUAGUCCAGCUGAAGUUGAAGCGCGGACUACAAGUCAGGCAGUCAUGACAACAACUCCCGUCGCAAAUCAUCCUAAUGUUUUCACUCACCGGUCGCCACCGUCCUCCUCCUCCUCAUCUCCAUCGGCAUUCUUAACUCGUACGAGUUUCCUCCCUUUCUCUUCCAUCUGCAAGCGCAAUAGUGUCAAUUGCACUGGCUGGAGAACACGAUGCUCCGUUGCCAAAGAUUACACAGUUCCUUCCUCAGCGGUCGACGGCGGACCCGCCGCGGAGCUGGACUGUGUUAUAGUCGGAGCAGGAAUUAGUGGCCUCUGCAUUGCGCAGGUGAUGUCCGCUAAUUACCCCAAUUUGAUGGUAACCGAAGCUAGAGAUCGUGCCGGUGGCAACAUAACGACAGUGGAAAGAGACGGCUAUUUGUGGGAAGAAGGUCCGAACAGUUUCCAGCCGUCCGAUCCUAUGUUGACUAUGGCAGUAGAUUGUGGAUUGAAGGAUGAUUUGGUGUUGGGAGAUCCUAAUGCGCCUCGUUUCGUCUUGUGGAAGGGUAAAUUAAGGCCCGUACCUUCCAAACUCACUGAUCUUCCUUUUUUUGAUUUGAUGAGUAUUCCUGGCAAGCUGAGAGCUGGUUUUGGUGCCAUUGGCCUCCGCCCUUCACCUCCAGUUUGUACUCUUCUAACUUUAAUUCAUUUAUUUUGAUUCUGUUGACACAAAAAAUAAAAAUAUAAAAAUUGCAAAUUAAAGAGAGAUUGUAAAUUCAACAGUUUAACCUUACCGUCUAGAGAUAGUGUUAAACCAUCAGUGUAAUUUAACCUGUUAUACAUUUAUUUUACGUUACUAAUUAAUGCUGUGCUGAUAGAGGUAUAUGCAAUUACCUUGUAAAUAACCUGAUUGUGUAAAUAAUUUUUGCACUUUCUUGAUAAUCUGUGCCUUUUCCCUCACUUAGCAUGUUUUGGCAAAGAUGACAGGGCCAUGAGGAAUCAGUCGAGCAGUUCGUGCGUCGUAAUCUUGGUGGUGAAGUCUUUGAACGCUUGAUAGAACCAUUUUGUUCUGGUACUUGCCUAUUCGGAACUACUGCCUUUAUAGAAUUUGUUCACUUUCUAAAAUACCGUUUGCUAUAGAGAUUCAUAUCGUGCGAACUAGAACAAUAUAUAUAUAUAUAUAUAUUUUCAAUCAUUUUAUUUGAUAAUCCUCGUUUUGUAUAGGUGUUUAUGCUGGUGAUCCCUCAAAACUGAGUAUGAAAGCAGCAUUUGGGAAAGUUUGGAAGUUGGAAGAAACUGGUGGUAGCAUAAUUGGAGGAACCUUUAAAGCAAUAAAGGAGAGAUCCAGUACACCUAAAGCGCCUCGUGAUCCGUAAUGGACUUGAUUUAAAGCCUUUGUGCUUUUUCUUUCCGCGCCUUGUGCUUUUUCUCUUAAGAAUACAUGUAUUGAGAGAGAGUAGGCUGACUUGAGUAAUCAUUCUACAGGCGUCUACCAAAACCAAAAGGACAGACAGUUGGAUCAUUCAGGAAGGGUCUGAGAAUGCUGCCGGAUGCAAUCAGUGCAAGGUGCCUUUCUCCUUUCCUAGUUCAAUGUCUCCACCACCCCACUCCCACCCCCAGUAUAAAAAUUUAGGGGGGGAAAAAGAGAAGAAAAAAAUCAACAUUUACGGACUAGUUAAAGCUCAGUUUUGGCAUUUUUUCUGCCUAUGUGCAAUGCUAUCAAAGACGAAAAGCGCAAAAAAGCUCUAACGCCUAUUGGGCCUUUAAGCGCAAAUAAAGUGCGGGCUUUAGUGAAGAAAAGCUCAAAUGAAAAGAAAAAAAAAGUACAAAUAUGUAUGUAUAGUCCAAGAUUAAUAUCUAUAAACAUGAAUACCAAAUAGAUGGACAAAGACAUCGAAGAAACUUUAUUAUUGUUAGCGGAAAUGUAAAAAAAAAAACACAAGAUUUAACGUAGUUCGGAUCAAAAUAAUCCUACGUCUACCAGAGAACAAUUGCCCUUUUAAUAUUAACAAAGGAAGGGGAGAUUUUCCAAUUACACUUAAGAGAAUUUCUCUCUUAACUUUCUACUCACUAUAAUGUAUUGUAUUAUUUUGGGAUGAUUUCUACAAGUGAAGGAGUGCAUCUAUUUAUAGAGGUAAAUACCUCCUCUUGAUGUCAUUGGUGACAUCAAACUACCUUCUCUUGAUGUCAAGGGUGACAUCAAGGGAGGAAGCUUCCUCCUAGCAUCCACACUUCCAAUUGGCAUGCCAUUGUUGACUAAACAUAAACCAACAUUUUUAAUCUCCACCUUGGUUUGCGUUUCGAGCAUGCGUGUGAACAACUCUGGCCAAAACUUCUAAGUUUACUGGGCAACCCCGUUGUAAGAAACAAGAAGAAUCAAACCAUUGUUGAAUAUGCCACCUCCACCUAACAACUGGUCUCUUCAGAGUUGCAUUAGUUGAUGCACACCCCUGCCAAGUCCUUGCAGUGUGCAAACUUAGCGAGCGGGACUAUCUUGGUCAACAUGUCUGCAGCAUUAUCGUCUGUGAUAACCUUCACGACCUUGAUAGUUCCCUCAUCAACAUCUCGAAUAAAAUGAAAUCUGACAUCAAUGUGUUUAGUGCGCUCAUGAAAUCUCUUAUUUUACCUUGGUAGUUCUCUCUUCAACAACAUCUCGAAUAAAAUAAAAUCUGACAUCAAUAUGUUUAGUGCGCUCAUGAAAUCUCUGAUUUUUCAUUAGACGAAUAGCACUCUGACUAUCACAUCUAAGAGUUGAUUCCAGCUGAACCAAACUCAAUUCCGCUUCUAAACCUUUCAACCAGAUAGCUUCCUUCACCGCCUCCGCUGCUGCCAUGUAUUCUGCUUCUGUCGUAGACAAAACGACAAUCGACUGCAGAGUCGACUUCCAACUAACGGCACUUAAUGAUGUAUCCAGUUGUGGACCUUCUUCUGUCAAGAUCUCCUGCAUAGUCAGAAUCCACAUAACCUAGAAUUGAAAUAACUCCACUGGCACUGCCAACGAGGGUAAAGAUGUAUCCAGUUAUGGACCUUCUUCUGUUAAGAUCUCCUGCAUAGUCAGAAUCCACAUCCCGAGAAUUGAAAUACCUGCACCACUUUUUCGAAAGGUCAGACCAACACCAGAAGCUCCUUUGAGAUAUCUCAAUACCCACUUGACAGCUUCCCAAUGCCUCUUUCCUGGGCUGGACAUGUAUCUGCUUACCAUACUUACAGAUUGAGCAAUAUCUGGACGUGUGCAUACCUUAACAUACAUAAUGCUACCAAUUGCACUGGCAUAAGAAAUCUUUGACAUAUGCUCCACCUCAUCCUCGGACUGAGGCAUCUUUCCUAGGUUGGACAUGUAUCUACUUACCACACUUACAGAUUGAGCAAUAUCUGGACGUGUGCAUAACAUAGCAUACAUAAUGCUACCAACUGCAGGCAUAAGGAAUCUUUGACAUAUGCUCCACCUCAUCCUUGGACUGAGGUAUUUGUGACUCUGAAAGUUUAAAAUGAGAAGCUAAUGGUGUACUUACAGGCUUGCACGUAUGCAUAUUGAAUCUCUCGAGAACCCUUUCAAUAUACCUCUUCUAAGAAAGAUGCACAACACCGUCUUCUCUAGAAAUCUCCGUACCAAGGAUUUUCUUUGCAGCUCCUAAAUCCUUCAUGUCAAAUUCCUUACUCUAUCGUUUCUCUUGAAAUCUCCAUACCAAGAAUUUUUUUUGCAGCUCCUAAAUCCUUCAUGUCAAAUUCCUUACUCAACAGUUUCUCCAAAGCAUUUAUCUUUGUAAUAUUGUUAGCAGCAAUAAGCAUAUCAUCAACAUACAACAGUAAAUAAAUCAUUGAGUUACCAGGCAUCUUCUUGUGAUACACACAGCUAUCAAAUGCACUCAUUGAAAAUUCAUGUGUAGUCAUGAAUGAAUCAAACCUCUUGUACCACUGUUUAGGGGAUCUCUUCAAACCAUACAAAGACUUCUUUAGUUGGCAUACAUGAUCUUCUUUUCCCUCAACUAGGAAAUCGUCAGGUUGAUCCAUAUAGAUUGUCCCUUCUAGAUCACCGUGUAAGAAAGCAGUUUUGACAUCAAGUUGUUGAAGCUCCAAGUCAAAUUGUUCAACCAAUACUAGUAGCACGCGAAUUGAGCUAUGCUUCACGACCGGAGAGAAAAUCUCAUUGUAGUCAAUUCCCUCAUUUUGGCUGAAACCUUUUGCAACCAAUCUCGCCUUGAACCUAGCAUCUUCCACUUCAGGAACUCCCUCUUUCUUUCGGUAGACCCACUUGCAUCCAACUGUCCUCUUCCCCUUUUGUCUUUUCACUAAGACCCAUGUCUGAUUCUUGUGAAGAGACUCCAUCUCUUCACCUUUUGUCUUUUCACUAAGACCCAUGUCUGAUUCUUGUGAAGAGACUCCAUCUCUUCAGUCAUGGCUAACUGCCAUUGUGCAGCAUCCUUGCAAGAAGUUGCUUCAAUAUACGAGGAGGGCUCCAGUUCUUUAAUAUCUUCUUGUGCAGCUACGAUCGCAUAUGCAAUCAAGUUUGCUUGAUUUAUAAGGCGUUCCGGUUCUCGUGUAUGCCUCUUCCCUCCCCUUCGCAAUUGUGUAUGGUUCAUUGACAACAAGCUCUUCAAGGCCUACUCUUCUGACUCAUCUUUAACCUGAGUCUCUUGAACCUUUUCCUUGGCAAGCUCCACCUGCUCGUCGUUCUUGUUUUAUGAAAACUCCACGGAAACUUUACGAGGAUCAAGUAUAGAGGAUUCAUCGAAGGUGAUAUCUCUACUAACUAUAAAUUUGAGUGAAGACAAACACCAAAGUUUGUGCUCUUUUACUCCAUCUACAUUCCCUACGAAUAUGGCCUUCUUAGCCCUUGGUUCAAGCUUUCCUUCAUUUACGUGAUAAUAAGCUGGACACCCAAAUACUCGUAAAUAUGAAUAGUUAGAGGGUUCGCCUGACCAUACCUCAUUUGGAGUCUUAAAGUCAAUUGCUGAUGCUGGAGAUCGAUUGACAAUAUGAGCAGCAGUGUGAACUGCUUCAGCCCAAAAUACUUUGGACAUUUUGGCUUGUAGGAGCAUACAACGAGCCUUUCAAGAAGAGUUAUGUUCAUUCUCUCGGCAACUCCAUUCUGCUGUGGGGUAUGCCUGACAUAUACAACGAGCCUUUUCAAGAAGAGUUUUGUUCAUUCUCUCGGCAACUCCAUUCUGCUGUGGGGUAUGCCUGAUAGUCCUAUGUCUUGAGAUCCCAUGAACCUUGCAUAAUUCCUUAAACUCUUCAUUGCAAAACUCCAAGCCAUUGUCUAUGCGAAGAUACUUGAUUUUCCGCUCCAUUUGAUUUUCAACCGAAAUCUUCCACUCUUUAAAUGCUUCAAAAAAUACACCCAAACUUUUCGUGAGAAAUCAUCAAUAAAAGUGAGAAGAUACCUCUUUCCGCCCGUCGAUGGAAGUUUAGAAGGACCCCAUAAAUCUGAAUGGAUGUAGUCUAGCACUCCUCUUGUAUUGUGUUUGCUAGUGUUGAAGCUGACCUUCUUCUGCUUCCCUAGAACGCAGUGCUCACAGAAGUCAAGUGUGCUAAUCUUCUCACCUUCCAAAAGGUUACGAUUGCUCAACAUCUCCGGUCCACGUGUGCUCAUAUGACUCAGUCUCAUGUGUCAUAGUCUUGCCUUGUUAUCAUUAGGUAACUGCAUUGUAGAUGCAUUUGCAGAGCCAACAAUGGUGCUUCCGGCCAAUGUGUAAAGGCCGUUCUCCAGCUUGCCUUUCAGCAUCACUAAAGAACCUUUAGUCACCUUCAUAGUUCCUGCUUCGCUCAUGUACCUUUAGCCUUGUUCAUCCAGAGUACCCAAGGAGAUCAAAUUCUUCUUCAGAUCAGGAACAUGACGGCCUUGUGUAAUAGUCCUCAUGACUCCAUCAUGGCAGCAAACCUGAACUGAGCCAAUGCCAACUAUUGCACAAGUUGCAUUAUUGCCCAUUACUACGGUUCCUCCACUUCUCUCGUAGCUGAAUCAUGGCAGUGAACCCGAACUGAGCCAAUGCCAACUAUUGCACAAGUUGCAUUAUUGCCCAUUACUUCGGUUCCUCCACUUUUCUCGUAGCUGCUAAACUAGUCUUUCGGGAACGUCAUAUGCAGAGUACAAGCAGAGUCUAACACCCAUUUGUUUUCAUAACUACUAUUAUAUUACGCGAUAUUGUUAGUACAUAAUCAUUAUCAAAAUCAUGUACCUGUUCAACUGUAGAUGCACUCCCCUUUUCCUUGGACAUUGACAUUAGGCAAUCUCGUUCAAAGUGCCCCUUCUUGCCACAACCCCAACACUCUGUAUUCUUCUUGUUCACACGAGACUUUGAUCUGUGCUUUGAUUUGCUCUUUCCCUGUUUGCUAGUCCGGCCUCUCACAAAGAGCCCACUUGCCUAGUCAUCUCUAUCUCCUUUAAUGUGCCUCCGCAACUUUGAUUUGCUCUUUCCAUGUUGGCUAGUCUGGCCUCUCACAAAGAGGCCACUUGCCUGGUCAUCUCUAUCUCCUUCAAUGUGCCUCCGCACAUCACUUGAGUUAAGUGCCUGCCGCACUUGCUCAAGUUUGAUAGGCUCCUUGCUAUACAUCAUUGAAUUCUCAAUAUCACGAUAUCCUGAAGUCAAUGAAAAUAACAAAGCACAUGCAAGCGUCUCCUCCUCCCUUUUAAUUCCUGCAAUCUGUAAGUCCAUGACAAGUUUAUUAAAUGCAUCUAAAAUGAUGAAGUAUCUGACCCCAUCUUAAAUGUGUGAAGACGCCGGUGUAACAACAUUCUUGUUGUCACUGAUCGGUCUUGCUAUAGCCCUUCUAGCUUUCCCCAUAACUGUUUGGCCGUUUCUUCGGUACCUGUACUCACUUCACAAAGCACGUUAGGUGCAAAGGAUAGUUAGAUUGCACUCAAUGCAUCCCCUUCAAUCUUCUCCUUGUCGGGAGAUGAUAUAUCCGUAGGAUACUUUCCGUCAAUAGCAUGGAUUGAACCUUCCCUCCGCAGUAACGCCAUCAUCUGUAUCUUCUAUCAAUUUCAAUCUUCAUGGAACUCAUGUUUUCUUGUUAUUCCUCCUUGGAUAAUUAAAGAAUCAUAUCUCUCUGAUACCAAUUGUUAGCGGAAACCUAAAAAAAGAACACAAGAUUUAACGUGGUUCAGAUCAAAUAAUCCUACGUCCACCAGAGAACAAUUUCCUUUCUAUUAUUUACAAAGGAAGGGAGAAACGUAAAAGAAAGAACACAAGAUUUAAUGUGGUUUGGAUCAAAAUAAUCUUACGUCCACCAGAGAACAAUUGCCCUUUUAGUAUUAACAAAGGAAGGGGAGAUUUCCCAAUUACACUUAAGAGAAUUUCUCUCUUAACUCUCUACUCACUACAAUGUAUUGUAUUAUUUUGGGAUGAUUUCGACAAGUGAAGGAGUGCAUCUAUUUAUAGAGGUAAAGACCUCCUCUUGAUGUCAUUGGUGACAUCAAACUACCUUCUAUUGAUGUCACGUGUGACAUCAAAGGAGGAAGCUUCCUCCUAGCAUCCACACCAACUCUUUCUACCAACUCUUCCAAUUGGCAUGCAAUUGUUGACUAAACAUAAACCAACAUUUUCAUUUAUUAAGUGAAAUAUCAAUUGUUUAGCAUUACCUCCUCAUGAUUACGCUUAUUUGCAAGGAAAAGUAUGCUUUUAGAGCCUUGAUGAUAAGGCUGAAGCGCCCGCUAAGCGAGGCAAAGUGCUCAAUAUGUUUUGAGAUUCGCUUCAGGGCUUAAGCGUGCCUUUGAUAAUACUGCCUAAGUGUGUUCUUUAAUGCUCUUGUUCAAGCAGUUCUCUAGUAUUUUUACCUUGGCUCCACCCCACUCCCACCCCCAUUAUAAAUAUUUGGCAGUUCUCUAGUAUUUUUACCUUGGAAAUGCUAAUAAGUCGUCGCCGUGUUUCCUUAGAUUGGGAAGCAAAUUAAAACUGUCAUGGAAGCUUUCUAGCAUUACAAAGUCAGAAAAAGGAGGAUAUCGCUUGACAUACGAGACACCAGAAGGAGUCGUUUCUCUUCAAAGUCGAAGCAUUGUCAUGACUGUGCCAUCCUAUGUAGCAAGUAACAUAUUGCGUCCUCUUUCGGUGUGUUUCCAUUACUGUUUGCUCCAAAGUCGUUAUUGCUAUUGUUCAUUUAGCACUAAUAUAGAAACUUGGAGAAAAAAAGGGAUCCUUUAAUUUUUCUUUUUCUUUUGGACUAGGAAAAGCGGCUCAAACACAUGUAUAACAGUCAUAUACUAUGUAUAAUAUGUGUGUGCAAUAUAAUGUGCAGAGAGAGACUUACCGGAGAGAAGAGAAUUAAAAAAAAAAAAAAGAACAUUUGCGUCACACGGAGAAUUAACAUGUACAUCUUAAUGAGGUCAAGAGCGUAACCUUACCCCACCCCUCAUGAAAGAUUGAACUUGUAUCUCAUGUUAUUGUGAGUUUUUUUCAUACAUAAAUUUAUUAGCAAUUUUCUUUAAAUGCUUUGACCUUGGAUUUUCAAAGGUUACUACUUCUGAUAAUUGCUUUGCAAGAAAUGCGGCUCACCUAAAAUGGGAAAGGUUUGUCUAUAGGUCGUGGUUCAGCUUCUUCUGUUUCUUGCUAAAGCAAAAUGUCUUCUAAACUUAUAUUAAACUCAGGUUGCCGCAGCAGAUGCACUUUCAAAUUUCUACUAUCCCCCAGUUGGAGCAGUCACAAUUUCAUAUCCUCAAGAAGCUAUUCGUGAUGAACGUCUGGUUGAUGGUGAACUAAAGGGAUUUGGGCAGUUGCAUCCACGUACACAGGGAGUGGAAACUCUAGGUAGCUUUCUGUUUGAAGGAUUCACUCUAAUUUUAACUUCAAGAAUCCAUAUUGAAGAUGGAAAACUUUUAUUGUUACAAUUGCAAGAUGCAACAUACUGAAGUAGCAUUACUAGGUAUCUUUCUGUUUGAAGGAUUCACUUUUAACUUCAAGAAUCCAUAUUGAAGAUGGAAAACUUUUAUUAUGACAAUUGCAAGAUUCAACUCACUGAAGUAGCAUUCCUCUAUCGCAUCUGCAGGAAUAAUAUAUAGCGUAUCAGUCUUCCCUGACCAUCAUUACCUAGAAAUUUUGACAGUACCAUGCAAAUCGAAGAUGAAUGAGUUAGAACAAUAACAUCAGGAUUUGAUUCAUCUUAAAUAUAAUACUUGCGUUUCAUAUGCAGGAACGAUAUAUAGUUCAUCACUCUUCCCUAACCGUGCCCCAAAAGGCCGGGUGCUACUCUUGAACUACAUUGGAGGAGCAAAAAAUCCUGAAAUUUUGUCUAAGGUAAGGCAUUUAAAUUGAGCGCAACUUCAAGUCCUGCCGGUAUCGAUUUAUCAUAAUGAAUAUUCAUGGCUGGCCAGUUGGGACAUCGCUUGAAGGUUCCUAUGGUAACAAACAGAAAACUGAGAAUGACCUUAUGAUCUUAUCCCCUGAUUUCUUUUGGUUGCAAAUACGUUAACCUUGCAGUGGUGCGGAAAAUGUUUUCAGUGUUAUUUUCUCUAGAUUAAUGGCGUAGUUGGUUAUUACAAAACCGUUUAGGCUUGUAUAACUAAGUGAUUAGAGUCUCCAGGUUUUUGAUCUAGCAGUAAGAGCAAAAUGUCUGAUGUUUGGGUUAGGCGCGCGUCAUGACUUCAAACCUUGUCAAACACUGCGAAAGAGAAACCUGGUAUUUAAGUGGAGAAGCAUAGUUGGGCAGGCCCAUUAUCUACCGUGUUUCGACCCGUGUGCUAGUUUGCCCUCAGGGAUUUAUCGGUUAUAUAAAAAAACAGUCAAGUGAUUACAAAUCCUCAGAAUAGUUUCACAUAAAGAACUAAAGAGCUAAGAAGAUUGUGGUUUCUAUUUCCUCUAUGUUCGACUGCAUUUUGUGGUUUUUCCAUAGCAUGACUUUCUUUUAUGGUACUUGUACGAAAGCAUUUCGCGGUUAUUCUUUAUGCUUCAGGGCCUAGAAUAAAUUGCUUUGAGAUUUGAUUCCUCAUUCUUCUUGCAGACGGAGAGCCAACUUGUGGAAGUAGUUGAUCGUGACCUCAGAAAAAUGCUUAUAAAACCCAAAGCACAAGAUCCCCUUGUUGUGGGUGUGCGAGUAUGGCCCCAAGCUAUCCCACAGUUUUUGGUUGGUCAUCUGGAUACGCUAAGUACUGCAAAAGCUGCUAUGAGUGAUAAUGGGCUUGAAGGGCUGUUUCUUGGGGGUAAUUAUGUGUCAGGUGUAGCAUUGGGGAGGUGUGUUGAAGGUGCUUAUGAAGUUGCAUCUGAGGUAACAGGAUUUCUGUCUCGGUAUGCAUACAAAUGAAACCUGUCCUGGGGGUACUGCUAGGUCCAAACCUUGUUAAUAAUACGAUCAUGCCUUGGGAUUAUUGGCAUGUGCCUAAAAGUUUUGCUCAUUAGAGUUAUUUUAGCCUUGGUAAAUGAUUUUUACUUGAUAUCAGUCGUUUUAUUUGAGAUAAAAUGUUCCUGUUCAGGAAAUAUAAUGUAUAUCAAUUUUAAACACUUGAAUGUUGAAGAUCAUUUGUUCCCCUCAGCUUGCCCAUAAAUGUGAAAGGUCCUUUGCUUCUGCAUGGUGAGAGACUGCCGAUUUAUUUUCUCCAACUUCCUAUGGUUAAAUAUGGUUUGCCUUGUCAUUCUUUGUUUUCUUUGGGAGAUUAUUUAUUCCACGACCAGAAGUAAGGGAUUAUACCACAUUCAAGGGCAUACUUGUGGCAACAAAGACUCACUGUGCAAGGGUAACAGUGAGAGUAUAUUUAUUACUCACUUCUAAUAAAGAGCAAAUUAAGGGAAUUCGAUGAUUAAGGAGCAAAUGAGGCCUUUUCCCUUGAGUUAAUAAAGAGAUGCUAUUAAAAGUUUUACUUCUUUGUAUUUAAAUUUGACAUAGGUAAUAUGUUCUGUCAUACGACAUUUAUUAGGUAUAAUUCAAUAGUACUUUUUUUAAAAAAAAGAAUAGAUCACGAUUGCUCUUGUAUAGAUCUAGUCUAGCUAAAAUAGAUAACUGCACAAGUGUUUGCCCGCACUAAUCAUAUAGGCACCCAAAACUCUCCUCCUUUUUCGUCCCCAAAUGUCUCCUCCCUCGCUAAAUGUUAUCAACAAUUUAUAGUUAAUGGGCAUUCCAGUAUUUAGAUUAAAGAAAGAGCUACCAUGAUUUGAUUUUAAACAGAUAAGCAUGGAAAGAAAAUUCUUUUUUAAAUUUUAGUUGUGUAUUGGUCUAAAUUUGGCGACUUGGUAAUAGCUAGAUACAUGAUCAAGGACGGGAUCGACCAUGACGUAAUAGCGAAAAGCCCUCUUCAAGGGGCAGCGUAGUCGAGGACGGACAACUGAGGUACAAGAGUAACAGUAGGAUAGACUUAGGAAUGACUACAAGGAAUAUUCCUUUGGAUAUUAACUAUUUUUUUUUCAUUAGGGUUUUUUGGAAAUACAAGGAAUAAGAGGGGAUCUUCACUUUCUGAGAAAGACAUAUUGUAAAAGGUUGACUUGAGAGAAUAUACAAAAGUUGUCUUCUUCAUUGAUUAUCUUAUCCAAGCACAUGCUGCUUAAUAUUUGUUCACAAGAUCCAAAAAUUACAUAACCAUCUUCACUUCUCUUCUUUCCACAUUAUUGUCAGGGGAAAGAACCAUCCAAGUCAUAUAAAAUAAUUGGGUGGUAGAUUCUUUCUUAUUACCUUUAUUGCCAUUAUCUACAUUUAUUGCAUCUUUGUGUUAUCUCAUUUAUUAGCAUUCAUUGAAUACAGACGUGCUGAUUAACGCUGUUCAUCCGACCGACUUCUCACAGUAUUUGGUCUAAAAUUUAUUAUUUUUAACUAAGAUUCAUUCUUCAUCUCAUCAUUAAUUGGUUUGACCAAAAGGCUCAACAUUUUUUGGUGAAACAAUUUGGCGUUGUCUGUGGGGAGUAUUUUAGUUAAAUUUGUUAGUUUCUUCUAGAUCAUAAAGGACAACCAUCUUUUUCUCCUCGGCACAAACUAACAAUGGUAGGGAAAUGAGCUGAAAGACAAAAAUCAAUAAUGGGUGUUAUUACCAACAUCUUAAACACCAUCAACGAGGAUGGCAGAGAAGACGACAAGAAUGUGACGCCGGCUGUUACACCCACGCGGAGUGACUCACCUCCCCCUCAUGGAAGUGUAACAACUUCACGUGAGAGAGGAGCUUCCACAUCCACAGCCAAAGAAGCACCACCAACAGUGAAAACAUUACUCUAAGAAUGGCUGACAAGCACUCUAAAUAACAUACUCGACAAACCCGCUCAAUGAACGAGUAGGAACGUCAUACAAACGGAUACCAUAUUGAUCAUCGAUGAGCAACCCGCUCCCCCAACAGGUAACACUCACACCGCCGCUGAUGCAUGUAAUGAUGCACUCACGUCCAGCCUAAAGAAAAUGGAAGAAAUGGAAAACGAGAAACAAGUAACUCCACGGCUAGCUGCCAUCUCACGUCCAGCCUAAAGAAAAUGGAAGAAAUGGAAAACGAGAAACAAAUAACUCCACGGCUAGCUGAGGGAGCAUCAAGAAAGGAUCUAUAAAAUACCGGACGCCCAAAAACUGCUACCAAAAUGGGAUGUCGCCCGAUUUGUCGAACAACUACACAACGAGGAGGCAGCCCACAUGCAACCCCUCAAAACCUUCAAGAUGCUGCCAUACUUGAAGAUAUAUGAUGGCACAACGAAUCCUGAAGAUCACAUCAUUCACUACGUCACAACAGUAAAGGGCAACGACCUCUCAAAGGAGCAAGUACCGUCAGUGCUACUAAAAUUUUUUGGAGAGACCCUAAUCGAAUGAGCCUUAAGUUGGUACUCACAAUUACCAACACAAUCUAUAAUAACAUUCGAGGAAAUGGCCAACAAGUUCGUCACCGUCCACACCGGAGCUAAGAAAGAGAAAACUAGAGUAAUGAUAUAUUCACCGACAUAUUCUCUUUCCAGAACGCGUUGAACGUGAAUGGAUCAAGAGAAACAAGAAAACUAUUAAGCACACUCAUAAAAUACCCUCCCAUCACUUGGGAUGAAAUUCACAACGCCAACUACACCUAGGUGAGAGCAGACAAAGAUGACCUUAACGGUGCGAUACAAUGGUUAACUUCGAUUCAAACAGGGUCGAUGAAAGACUUCGCAGUAACGGUUGAAGAGAUCAGUUAGGACCUUGCCUUAGCCGAGAUAGGCACCAACCUUAUGUCACAACAACCGUCCCACCAUCUCAUCGCCAUGUGGAAGGACUGUUCAGGCCGCAUACAAGGACUCAUCGGAACAAAAGAGGUAUGCCUCCGCUCCUAUCUGCUCACAAAUUUUGUGUUUCCCCUUCAGAGAUAGUGUACGCAUCAGAAAGCUUGGCCUGAAGGUAAAGUGGACACAGAAGAUGAAAUCCGAUCCGAGUACCUGAAAGUCGAACAUUCUCUGUGAAUUUCAUCUAGAGCAGGGUCACAAAAUUGAGGACUGUGUAGCCCUGCAGAAAGAGGUAAUAAACAUACUCCACCAAGGGUACCUAAAGGAGCUUAUGAGCGAUCGAGGAAGAGCCAAUUUAGGCCGCAGAAGAGAACAACACCAAGGACCACCACAACCGCCCUCCCAUGCCCGCACCAUUCAAAUGAUCAUCGGUUGAGGCGACGAAGCAACAAUCAACCACAUAAAGUUUACCACCACACACAAACUAAAGCGGUCUAUCACCCACGAACGAUAUGAUGACCUAAGAGAAAGUAUCAUCUUCGAUAAGUGAGAUACCAACGGUUUGAUUUUUUCUCACUCUGAGGCUCUAGUUAUUACUUUACGUAUUUCAAAUACUGAUGUAGAAAGAAUAAUGUUAGACGAUGGUGGCGGUGCGUGUAUUAUUCACCCUCGAGUUCUUGUGCAAAUGCGACUCGAGGACAAGAUAUUACCACGUGGCAUAACACUAACGAGUUUUAACAAUGCAGUCAAGAAAACCUCAGGAGAUAUAACGCUGCUUGUUCUGGAUGGGGGCGUUACCCUAGAAACAAAGUUCCACGUCAUGAACUAGGACACAACUUACAACGCCAUCAUAUGAUGACCAUGGAUACACGCCAUAAGGGCUAUCCCUUCCAUCCUGUAUCAAGUAACCAAAUCCCCAACUCCAUAGGGGAUAUUCAACAUCCGAGGCAAACAACACACAGUCCAAGAAUACUACCGCAUCGCCCAAGAUUGUACAUUCACUCAACAUCUAAAAGAAACAAACUCAGAAGCAUAGCAAUUAUUAAAGUCGGGGUCUGAACCCAACAAUCAGAAAUGCAUUAUCAAGGACCGCGACGUCUUGGAAGCAGCGGGGUCAACAAUAGAAGAUCUUGAUCCCGUCCAAUUAGACAGCAACAACAGCAGCAAAAAAGGCUUAUAUAGGCCAUAAGCUCUCCGAGCCAGUUAAAUUUCAUAAUUUUCUUAUCAAUAAUGCCAAUCUAUUUUCUUUUUUCCCAAACAGAUAUGACAGAUAUUCCGAAAGACAUUACUACACACAAGUUGAACAUCGAUCCCUUAUAUCCCCAAGUGCGACAAGUAAGAAGAAAAUCCAAUGCCGCAUUCAACGAGGCCGUCAGCGAAGAAGUAGGUAAAUUACUUGCUAGCGUCUCCAUCCUAGAAUCAAAGUAUCCUUAAUGGGUUGCCAAUGUAAUAAUGGUAAAUAAGAAAAAUGGGGAGUGGCGGAUGUGCGUGGAUUUCAUGGACCUGAACAAGGCCUGCCUGAAAGACUCUUUUCCCCUGCCUUAUAUCGAUAAGCUAAUUACCGCAACAAUAGGGCACGAGUUGUUGAGCUUCCUGGAAGCCUAACCAGGUUACAACCAAAUCCUCAUGGAGGAAAAGGACCAGGAGAAGACUACUUUCAUCACCCAUCAAGGAACAUAUUGUUAUCUGGCCAUGCCGUUUGGCUUAAAGAAUGCGGGGGAGACUUCUCAAAGAUUUCUAACCAUAAUGUUCAAGGACCAACUCGGCAAAACUAUGAAAGUUUACACAGAUGAAAUGUUGGUCAAAUCGAAAAGGAAGGAAGAUCACAUCGACCACUUGAAAGAAGCCUUCGGGAUACUAAGGCAAUACAACAUGAAGAUAAACCCCCAAAAAUGUGCUUUCGGCGUAAUAUCAGGCAAGUUCCUAGGUUUCUUAGUGUCAUAAAGAGGCAUUGAGAUCAACCCCGACCAAAUCAAAGGGCCUCACAUUAAAGUUUGGCUUUAGGCCACCAAACUUAUUGAGCCGCCAGUAUUAGUCUGCAAACAUAAAGGUACUCAAUCACAGAUCUAUUAUAUUAACAAAACUCUUGUCGGCACUAAAACAAGGUACCCUCACCUCAAAAAUUGUCCUUGGCAUUGGUUAUAGCUUCACGGAAGCUUAGACAAUAUUUUCAAUGCCACCUCAUAUAGGCGGUAAUGACUUUUCCCCUACGAGAUAUUGUGCAUAAACCCGAGCUAUCGGGGAUAUUUGCCAAAUGGGCCAUAGAGUUGAUCAAGCAUGAUAUAACAUAUCAGCCGCGAGCAACAAUAAAAUCGCAGGUACUCACCGAUUUCAUCGCCGAUUUAGUGCCAAGAUAAUAACUGAGGUCGAACAAGAAACUUCUUGUACCUCAUCUAGUUUACCCGACCUAUAGGUCAUUUCCCCCUUCGGUGCAUCCAACAUGUCAAGAUCUGGACUGGGACUCAUACUCGAGGUCCCAACAGGCAAAGUCAUUCACUAAUCCAUACGGUGCCCCGAUAUAACUAACAAUGAGGCCGUAAUUGCAGGAUUAAAGAUAGCUCUCAAAUACGAAGCACGACGAGUCGUCCUUAGAUGCGACUCACAACUUGUUGUCAACCAAGUCACAUGGACUUUCCAACUCAAAGAUCAGAGGGUACAAAGGUACUAGGAAGAAAUUCAUAAACUGCUACCAGAAUUGACGAAUGUCGACUCGAUCAGAUACCUCGAGCACAAAAUAUCGAGGCAGAUGGUCUCGCCAAAUUAGCAGUGGCCACCAAAAACAUCACAAAGGAAAACAUAAUCACCCUCCUCUACUCAUCGAUAGACCAACUCGAGGUGCACUUUGUUAGUUUGACUUGGGGCUGGCGCAACCAUAUUAUAACAUAUUUGUAGGAAAGAGCACUCCCAACAGAAAAAAAGGAAGCCAAAAAUCUUCAAAUGCAGGUGGCCAGGUACAACCUCAUAAAUCAUGACAUACACAAAAGAACCUUUGGGGGACCCUUGGCAAAAUGCCUAGGGCAAAAUCAAACAACACGCGUACUCGAGGAAGUACACUAAUGCCAUUGCGGUGCACAUAUAUGUAACUGGGCCCUCGUCAGAUGCCUCAUUCGAGCAGGAUAUUAUUGUCCCACAAUAAAGAAGGAAGCCAUUGAUUAUGUCAAGAAGUGUGAACAAUGCUAGAAAUAUGCCCCAAUGAUACACCAAGCGGGCGACCACCUCCACUCCGUUACAUCACCAUGGCCGUUCAUCAAAUGAGGAAUAGACAUCGUCGGAC
This 31688-nucleotide long non-coding RNA is filed under the name Nicotiana benthamiana. Its description in RNAcentral is "long non-coding RNA (NBEN_LNC028797)". Lineage: Eukaryota; Viridiplantae; Streptophyta; Magnoliopsida; Solanales; Solanaceae. The record is from RNAcentral.